Molecule: ribosomal RNA, 250 nt
Filed under: uncultured bacterium
Lineage: Bacteria
Description: partial 16S ribosomal RNA
Rfam family: Bacterial small subunit ribosomal RNA
Source: RNAcentral
UACGAAGGGGGCUAGCGUUGCUCGGAAUCACUGGGCGUAAAGCGCACGUAGGCGGAUUGUUAAGUCAGGGGUGAAAUCCUGGAGCUCAACUCCAGAACUGCCCUUGAUACUGAUGAUCUUGAGUUCGAGAGAGGUUGGUGGAAUUCCGAGUGUAGAGGUGAAAUUCGUAGAUAUUCGGAAGAACACCGGUGGCGAAGGCGGCCAACUGGCUCGAUACUGACGCUGAGGUGCGAAAGCGUGGGGAGCAAAC